GUGGAUUAGAUACCCUGGUAGUCCACGCUGUAAACGAUGUCAACUAGCUGUUGGGUAUAUGAAUGUACUUAGUGGCGCAGCAAACGCGAUAAGUUGACCGCCUGGGGAGUACGGUCGCAAGAUUAAAACUCAAAGGAAUUGACGGGGGCCCGCACAAGCGGUGGAGCAUGUGGUUUAAUUCGAUGCAACGCGAAGAACCUUACCUACCCUUGACAUACAGUGGAUUUUGCAGAGAUGUGGAAGUGCCUUCGGGAACACUGAUACAGGUGCUGCACGGCUGUCGCCAACU
Molecule: ribosomal RNA, 289 nt
Filed under: uncultured bacterium
Lineage: Bacteria
Description: partial 16S ribosomal RNA
Rfam family: Bacterial small subunit ribosomal RNA
Source: RNAcentral